Long non-coding RNA from Osmerus eperlanus (European smelt), 903 nucleotides. RefSeq lists it as uncharacterized. Lineage: Eukaryota; Metazoa; Chordata; Actinopteri; Osmeriformes; Osmeridae. The transcript has 2 exons. The record is from RefSeq and is a predicted model, not a curated record.
AACACUGUCUCUUACUGAUGAUGUCAGCUGUGUCAUCUCUUAUGGUUCAUGGUGGUGGGGCUUUGAGCAUAUGGUUUGUCAGGCAAAGCCAUUCUGAAAUCAGCAAUUUUACAAACUUUAACACAAAUUUGUGUUUUUUCAUGGUCAAGCCCACCAAUUCUACAAACCACAGCCGUUACAUGCCAUAUCUGGUUAACGGCUGACAACACAGACGUGACAUGAUAUAGAACCAGACUAAAGCAAUACAGCAUAUUUAUAUUUAUGGGCCUAGUUUUACCACUGUAGAGUCAGACUGACAGCAUUCCGGCUGUCUGUGUGCGGAAAAGGACAGUCCACUGACAGACUUGUGUGACUGGCUGCUAUGAGAACAAUACAACCACACCCCUCUGCUAUAAUAACAUGCCGCUCAGUCAUGUGUUCAUAAGAGCAAAGGUGUGUUUGAGAAAACACAGAGUAUUCUAUGUCUUUGUGUGAGUGUGUGUGUUGCGGUGUCUGUGAUCUUGAUGGUAAACAGGGCCAGCGUCUCUCCUCCUCUCACCCUGACGUCCUCUCAUGGAGAAUGUGUGUGUGAGGGUGUGUGUGUGAGUACGCGUGCAUGUGAGUGUGUGUGUAUGUAGGAAAGAGACACAGUGUGUAAGUCGGGAGCAGUAGUGACCAUAACAUCCAAAUCUCAGUGAGAUCAUGAGACUUUAACGGGGAAACGUAGAGAUCUCCCUGUCUGACAGGAUGGCAGGUUCUAACGUAACGUAGAGAUCUGACAGGAUGGCUGGUUCUAACGUAAUGUAGAGAUCUGACAGGAUGGCAGGUUCUAAGGUAACGUAGAGAUCUCCCUGUCUGACAGGAUGGCAGGUUCUAACGUAACGUAGAGAUCUCCCUGUCUGGCAGGAUGGCAGGUUCUGUUGU